CCCAAUAAUUGAAGCUUCUUUUCUAAGAAAAGUCGCAACAAAUCAUCUCUCUUUAUUAACAACUUCUCCUCACCAUUCAACUCCGAUAAGAAAACAACCUCAUUAGAACAAAGAAGACGAUCAUUCUAAAGAAAGAGAGAUGGGUUGUAUUCACUUCGAGUCAUCAAAAUAUCAAUGGACACGCUCUGUCCAUGACCAAGAAACAUCCAACACAGCUUCACCACAGCACGAGCACGGAGGGAUCCAGGAAGCUUGGGCGGAGAUCGAGACACGUGGAGGUGGUGGUCAUUUCGCCGGAGAGAAUAGGAAGAACAAGCUUGAGAAGAGGAAGAGCCAAGUGUUGCUUGAGGGCUACGUUGAAGCUUCUGCUGCUGAUGAUUAUCAAGAAGAUCUUACGAGAGGUAAGAGUUUGACGGAUGAUGAUCUCGAGGAGCUUAAAGGCUGUUUAGAUCUAGGUUUUGGGUUCAGCUACGACGAGAUCCCUGAGCUUUGCAACACUUUGCCUGCUUUAGAGCUUUGUUACUCCAUGAGCCAGAAGUUCUUGGAUGAUCAACAAAAGUCGUCGGACACGUGUCAGACUGAAGAAGAUUCGCCGCCGCCACCGUCCACGACCGGUCCAGUGGCAAACUGGAAGAUCUCUAGCCCUGGUGAUAAUCCAGAUGAUGUAAAAGCUAGACUCAAAUACUGGGCACAAGCCGUAGCUUGCACUGUCCGGUUGUGUAGCUGAACAGCUAUCAUCAUCUUGUCUGAACAUAUUGGGUGAACCAGAAACAUUCUUCUGAAGACCUUUUUUUGCAUGAAUGAAGUCUCUGCCACUGUUAGCUGAAGAAUAGACCUGCAUUGUGUGUCCAUGGAGAAACUGUGAUGAGACUGAGAGAGACAAAGAAACAACUGUGUUUUUGAAGUCCUCUGAUUUGUUGUGGCUGAGGUAACUUGAUCAUCUAACUGUCAGAGUUUUGAUUAACAAGUUAAUCUUCUGUUUCAUGAUCUUGUUUUUGAAUCAUUGGUGAUUAGGCUUAGAUGAUGGCAAAACUCGUGACUUUGCUUCAGUUACAAGAUGUACUUACUUGUGAUUCUUUUUAUCUUUCCCGUUUGUGGGAAAAGAAUCAGAAACUUUGUGGUCAUAAUUGUGAACACGCUCAACGUGUCUUGUACGAUAGGGCAGACAUGAUCGUACUUUCACGUGUUCUGUUACGUAUCCAACUUUUCUAAUAACGGCGAAUAUGAUUUCUUUCGAGUG
RNA transcript from Brassica rapa (field mustard), 1240 nucleotides. RefSeq lists it as uncharacterized. NCBI's taxonomy places the organism in Eukaryota, Viridiplantae, Streptophyta, Magnoliopsida, Brassicales, Brassicaceae. The record is from RefSeq and is a predicted model, not a curated record.